CAACCCUCAAGCUUUGCUUGGUAUUGGGCGCCGUCCUCUCUGCGGACGCGCCUCAAAGACCUCGGCGGUGGCUGUUCAGCCCUCAAGCGUAGUAGAAUACACCUCGCUUUGGAGCGGUUGGCGUCGCCCGCCGGACGAACCUUCUGAACUUUUCUCAA
RNAcentral lists this unclassified non-coding RNA (158 nucleotides) under uncultured Botryosphaeriaceae. RNAcentral's name for it is "sequence contains ITS2". Lineage: Eukaryota; Fungi; Ascomycota; Dothideomycetes; Botryosphaeriales; Botryosphaeriaceae. The record is from RNAcentral.